This 633-nucleotide ribosomal RNA is filed under the name Companilactobacillus farciminis. RNAcentral's name for it is "bacterial SSU rRNA". It matches the Rfam family "Bacterial small subunit ribosomal RNA", at positions 35 to 638 of the family's 1533-position model. Lineage: Bacteria; Bacillati; Bacillota; Bacilli; Lactobacillales; Lactobacillaceae. The record is from RNAcentral.
ACUGGCGUCUGACUAUUCUGCAGUCGAGCGAACUCUGCUGAUGAUUGAAGCUUGCUUCAUGAAUUACAUUUGAGUGAGUGGCGGACGGGUGAGUAACACGUGGGUAACCUGCCCAAAAGUGGGGGAUAACAUUUGGAAACAAGUGCUAAUACCGCAUAACAACUACUUUCACAUGAGCGUAGGUUGGAAGAUGGCUCUGCUAUCGCUUUUGGAUGGACCCGCGGCGUAUUAUCUAGUUGGUGAGGUAAUAGCUCACCAAGGGAAUGAUACGUAGCCGACCUGAGAGGGUAAUCGGCCACAUUGGGACUGAGACACGGCCCAAACUACUACGGGAGGCAGCAGUAGGGAAUCUUCCACAAUGGGCGAAAGCCUGAUGGAGCAAUGCCGCGUGAGUGAAGAAGGUUUUCGGAUCGUAAAACUCUGUUGUUGAAGAAGAACAUGCGUGAGAGUAACUGUUCACGUACUGACGGUAUUCAACCAGAAAGCCACGGCUAACUACGUGCCAGCAGCCGCGGUAAUACGUAGGUGGCAAGCGUUGUCCGGAUUUAUUGGGCGUAAAGAGAAUGUAGGCGGUUUAUUAAGUUUGAAGUGAAAGCCCUCGGCUCAACCGAGGAAGUGCUUCGAAAACUGGGU